Molecule: ribosomal RNA, 523 nt
Filed under: uncultured bacterium
Lineage: Bacteria
Description: bacterial SSU rRNA
Rfam family: Bacterial small subunit ribosomal RNA
Source: RNAcentral
AGAGUUUGAUCCUGGCUCAGAUUGAACGCUGGCGGAAUGCUUUACACAUGCAAGUCGAACGGCAGCACGGGGGCAACCCUGGUGGCGAGUGGCGAACGGGUGAGUAAUACAUCGGAACGUGCCCAGUCGUGGGGGAUAACGUAGCGAAAGCUACGCUAGUACCGCAUACGAACUCUGGUUGAAAGCGGGGGAUCGCAAGACCUCGCGCGAUUGGAGCGGCCGAUGGCAGAUUAGGUAGUUGGUGGGGUAAAGGCCUACCAAGCCGACGAUCUGUAGCUGGUCUGAGAGGACGACCAGCCACACUGGGACUGAGACACGGCCCAGACUCCUACGGGAGGCAGCAGUGGGGAAUUUUGGACAAUGGGCGCAAGCCUGAUCCAGCCAUUCCGCGUGCAGGAUGAAGGCCCUCGGGUUGUAAACUGCUUUUGUACGGAACGAAAAGGCCUGGGCUAAUACCCCGGGCUCAUGACGGUACCGUAAGAAUAAGCACCGGCUAACUACGUGCCAGCAGCCGCGGUAAUUC